This 254-nucleotide ribosomal RNA is filed under the name uncultured bacterium. RNAcentral's name for it is "partial 16S ribosomal RNA". It matches the Rfam family "Bacterial small subunit ribosomal RNA", at positions 524 to 776 of the family's 1533-position model. The record is from RNAcentral.
CACGUAGGGUGCGAGCGUUGUCCGGAAUUAUUGGGCGUAAAGAGCUCGUAGGCGGUGUGUCGCGUCGGCCGUGAAAACCUGCAGCUUAACUGUGGGCUUGCGGUCGAUACGGGCAUCACUGGAGUUCGGCAGGGGAGACUGGAAUUCCUGGUGUAGCGGUGAAAUGCGUAGAUAUCAGUAGGAACACCAAUGGCGAAGGCAGCUUGCUGGGCCGACCCUGACGCUAAGGCACGAAAGCGUGGGGAGCGAACAGG